GACGAACGCUGGCGGCGUGCCUAAUACAUGCAAGUUGAGCGAUGAAGAUUGGUGCUUGCACCAAUUUGAAGAGCAGCGAACGGGUGAGUAACGCGUGGGGAAUCUGCCUUUGAGCGGGGGACAACAUUUGGAAACGAAUGCUAAUACCGCAUAACAACUUUAAACAUAAGUUUUAAGUUUGAAAGAUGCAAUUGCAUCACUCAAAAAUGAUCCCGCGUUGUAUUAGCUAGUUGGUGAGGUAAAGGCUCACCAAGGCGAUGAUACAUAGCCGACCUGAGAGGGUGAUCGGCCACAUUGGGACUGAGACACGGCCCAAACUCCUACGGGAGGCAGCAGUAGGGAAUCUUCGGCAAUGGACGAAAGUCUGACCGAGCAACGCCGCGUGAGUGAAGAAGGUUUUCGGAUCGUAAAACUCUGUUGGUAGAGAAGAACGUUGGUGAGAGUGGAAAGCUCAUCAAGUGACGGUAACUACCCAGAAAGGGACGGCUAACUACGUG
RNAcentral lists this ribosomal RNA (497 nucleotides) under uncultured bacterium. RNAcentral describes it as "partial 16S ribosomal RNA". It matches the Rfam family "Bacterial small subunit ribosomal RNA", at positions 28 to 507 of the family's 1533-position model. The record is from RNAcentral.